Pelobates cultripes (western spadefoot toad) is the source of this 827-nucleotide non-coding RNA. The record is from the annotation of a GenBank genome assembly. Lineage: Eukaryota; Metazoa; Chordata; Amphibia; Anura; Pelobatidae.
CUCACGUUUGUAAAUGCAUGCACCAUCCUUAAGCAUUGUGUUAAACAGAUUGUCAUGUUUUACCUGCAAAAUAACAUCCAGAUAACUGGGAAAAACACAAAGCGAUAAUUCUGUAGUGUGAAUAUAUUCCACUUAAAGGAACGCUAUAGUAUUAGGAAUACAAAACUGUAUUCCUAACAGUGUCCCCCAGUAAAUAAAGAGUUAAAGCGUUUUUAGACUUCCCUGAUUGCAGCAAGAAUGUCUCUGUGCUCAUUACCUUCCCCAUAGCAAAGCAUAACAACUCAAUGCUUUCCUAUGGGGUUGUGCUUGACAUGCAUAUCUUGAGGACGCCCACAGUCGUUAAACAGCUAGAGGCAGUGUUAGCACUGCAAUGUAAACAUUAAAGGACAGAGGAACAGUGCACCCAGGUGACUUCAAUGAGAUGUGUCCCUUUAAUAAAAAGGUAAAAAUUAGCACUGCACCAUGAUAGUCUGCAGUCAGCUUUAUUAUACAUGUUAUGGUAGCAGCAGGUGAUAAUCAGAGCACAGACCUUUUGUAGGUCAACACAAAAUGCUGCCUUCUCGUAUCUUCCUGCCUUUACACAACUAUAGAUCUUUACAAAUAAAUUCCAAGUUGGCCCUAAAAUAGGACCUAAAGAUGUCUCUGUAAGGUUAGUCUUCCACUAGAGGGCAGUGUAACAGUUAAUUCAAGCCUUGGUAAUGGUAACACUGCACUGAGUUUAUUAUAUCAUGAAAAGCUAUUAAUCAAGAUCUUUUUACUCUUGAAAAGAUGCACAAUAUAAUGAUUUAAUAAAAGGUGUUACGCUGAAAAAUAUGGCUUGUUACACA